RNAcentral lists this long non-coding RNA (275 nucleotides) under Elaeis guineensis (African oil palm). RNAcentral's name for it is "long non-coding RNA (EGUI_LNC078752)". Lineage: Eukaryota; Viridiplantae; Streptophyta; Magnoliopsida; Arecales; Arecaceae. The record is from RNAcentral.
AAAACUAAGAGAUAUUACUUCUACCUUAUUGAAGAACAAAAGUUGUUCGGCAUUUUUUUUGAAAAGUUCCUUAGUGAAAGAACUGAUGCUUCCAAGGUUGAACUUGAUGAAGUUCGAUUGGUAGAAGAACUGACACAAUCUAGUGAAUCUAUAGAAUUGGAUUUGAUUAGAUCAAAUCCGAAACCCGUUGUAAAGGCACCGUUAAGGAGAUCCGGUAGAGUACCACAUCUGUCGAACAGAUACUUUGAUUUUUAGAUCCGAGACGUGAUCCUGUC